UUGCCCUCAUUUUCGGGAUCAUGGCAAUAAUUUCUACUAGAACUGAAUACUUUGGGUUAUGUACCUUUAAAAUUGGGACAAAUUUUUACAGCUUUUAUGACUAAAGUACAUGUACGCUCUAAUUUUACCAGUGUUUGGAUAAUGUGAACUAUGCAUGUUUAUAACGCAAGUGUUAUUAAUCGUUUUUACACGUUUACGAAACAUUAAACUAUAGGUCUCCCUUCUCAAUUCUAUAUUACUAUAAUGACAAAUUUAUAGUAUAUGCACUAUAGUACUAUCACGUAAAACUGCGCAUAGUUACACGUCUGCAACCAACAUUAUAAUUUGUUUUUUAACAAUUAUAAAUGCAUAAAGAUUCUUCUUUUCAAAGGCAUCUGAUACAAUUUUAUUAGCCAUCCCUUGAAGAAAAUUAGUUGCUGCUGCACAAGCAUUAAAAUUAGGGUCACAAAAUUCGGCAUCCAGAGAAGAAUUAAUGUAAUCUUUUAGAACAAUCAAGUUUUAACAUAGAAGACAAGGUAACUGAAACAUCCUGAUCCCUAGUCUCCAUAUGUUUCCUCCGUAGAUUUACACAUUCACGCAACCCCUCAAAAUAAUUGUUCUGUUCGAAUGACAAUGUAUCAGUCAUAGAUUCAGUAACUUUAAGUAAUAACUCAUCAGGUUCAUCUUUGUUGGAUGCAUUAUAAUCAGUACAACUUUUGCUCCACAUCUUAUUAGAUUUUUGAUUAUCUGAUCUAAAAUUGACUAAAUGUUAUUUCUAAUUUACUUAAAAUUAUUCAGUUCUUUCAAAUAUGCUUAGAAAAACUAUCAGCUUGCGGCUAUGUAUUGUAUUGUUAAAUAAAACAAAAUAAUCUUAAUUCAUUAACAACUAUGCGACGACUUAGAUUUAAAAAUCAUAACUUACAAUAUUAUCUUAGUAAUUACACUUUGUAAACUCGUAGAAGAAUUAAUAACUUCUGGAAAAAAAAAAUCACAUUCAAUAUCACUGCUUAAAACCGAAUUCAUAUCAAUAAAAUCAUUUAUAUUAAAUAAAUUUUCAUCAUCAUUUCCUUCCAUUAUUAAAACACAAAUGUCAUAUAAGUAAUAAACACUGGAUAUAAUUUAUAAUUAAUACACCUUAUAAACAAUAUGUUACUUCAGUUACAGUUACUUGAAUUAUAAUUUAAAUAAAAAAAUGAGAAAUCUCAGAUAAAUAAUAACAUGCAUACUUUAAAUUAAUCAUAAUUUAUCUUUACUUAUAAGUUGAGGGUAUAUUGAGUAGUUUGAAUAAAUAUGUUCAUGAUUUACGGAUGAUUAAAAAAAGGCGGUGGUGAUCGAGCCACUCAGGGAAGGUCAACGGUACUUCGCGGUCAUAAAGACCGCGAUGGCUGCCGUUGAACUCAAAGCUCUGGGUGUCCAGUUGGCUGGGACCAGGAGGAGCCGAACGGGAGCCGUCCUUUUGGAGGUCCGGGGAUCGGGCGCCCAGGCUGACAGCCUGGGCGAACUGCGCGCUCAGCGCAGUUACCGCCUGUAUCCAGUAGGAGGGGAGUAGACNCCG
Long non-coding RNA from Daktulosphaira vitifoliae (grape phylloxera), 1534 nucleotides. RefSeq lists it as uncharacterized. Lineage: Eukaryota; Metazoa; Arthropoda; Insecta; Hemiptera; Phylloxeridae. The record is from RefSeq and is a predicted model, not a curated record. The transcript has 3 exons.